Molecule: ribosomal RNA, 253 nt
Filed under: uncultured bacterium
Lineage: Bacteria
Description: partial 16S ribosomal RNA
Rfam family: Bacterial small subunit ribosomal RNA
Source: RNAcentral
UACGGAGGGUGCAAGCGUUAGUCGGAAUUACUGGGCGUAAAGGGUGCGUAGGCGGAUAUGUAAGUCAGACGUGAAAUUCCGGGGCUCAACUUCGGAGCUGCAUCUGAAACUGUGUAUCUAGAGGAAUGGCGGAGAAAACGGAAUUCCACAUGUAGCGGUGAAAUGCGUAGAUAUGUGGAAGAACACCUGUGGCGAAGGCGGUUUUCUAGCCUAAUCCUGACGCUGAGGCACGAAAGCAAGGGGAGCAAACAGG